GUUAAGUUUGUUUACUGUUUGUUUUUAGGUAUGAUGAAGAGGAAGCUUUCAGUGGUGUCCAGUACAUUGUACAGAAGUGUUAAGCCUUUCAUGGAAGCAUCAUCAGAAGUAGAAGAAUACUUGGUACACACAAGUGGAUUUUCCUGAAAGCUAUAAUGGCAUGAGAAGUUUCUAGUAAUGGGAACGUCAGGUGUCCUGAUGAAAGAUUUCCUGGCAACUGUAGUACAACAGACAGAGGAAAAUGGUCAAAAAUGUAGGAACGAAUCCUUUUAGCUUAUUCAGUGAAGAGUUGGAACACUUUGUCAGUCCUACCUGACAAAUGUGGAUGAUCUGUAACUUCUGUGGAAGUGUAACACCUGAAGAGUUUUUGUGGCUUGAAGUGGGAUGCCAUGCUUUUCAAAAGCCUACUGAAACAGCUGCUGCAAUUUUGUGUAGCGGAUACUGUUUUCAGAAACUGCAUGUGAACCAAAAUCACUGUCUCUUCAUAUUUAAAAUAGCACUUUUCUUAAAACAUUGAGCUACACUUUGUAGGAAGGAUAGCAAUAUUAGGGAAACAAGCAUUAAGCUUCAAUACAUGGAAAAAACCCCAAGAGUAUUGCCCAUUUUAAAAUAUCAUGAGGGUAUGCAGACUUGCUGAUGCUGAAGAUACAUAAUAACUCAAAACAAUGCAACUCACAACUGUAAAGACAGGGAGAAAGCAAAACAGGUACACAAAUUCAAACCAAUGAGCCUGUUUUUUGAUUGGUGUCAUCCAGGAGAUAGGAGGAAGUAGAUGAUGUGAUAGUGGUAUGGAAGCAUAAACAUGAAACACUUGUAAGAAAGAAAUUUGGGUGUCAUGAGGAAAGUUCUUACAGAAGAGGCAAAGGUCUAAAGCUUUCAUUGCUGUCUGUAUCUAGUGAGGGAGAGAAGAAUUGGGGUUUUAUGCUCUGCCACUUGAGUAUGAAAAGGCCAGUGGAACUGCCCUUUGAGGAAUAUGCUGGCAAUGUUACUUCCUUGCUGUGCGGGGAAAAGAGGUCAGUAGUGGGAGAAGGGAGUACCCACAGUGGAACUUGUGCUUUGAGCAGUCACUUGAAAACUAGCGGUGCUCUAUCACAGUAACAGCAUAUUUGCUGUAUCUGGCUAAUUUGCAUUCUUCCACAGAGUGAGAGAUCAUAAAUUGGUCACCAAGGAAAUUGGUAGAGCUAAAGUUAGUGAAUCAAAAUGCACCAAAAUACAGAAAAACUACCCUAUAGUCUGCAGCCAAAAAUGACAGCAUUGGAUGCCAGCAGCUCUCUUCCUUUAGAGAGUUGGAAGAAUUCCUAUAGCUCGUGGAAUGUGCCUACUUCUAAAUGACAAAUUCCAUGGAAUGCCCAAUUUUCUGUCUAAGCAGUAUCAUGAAGUGCCAAACACCACAGUAGCAGUGCCUAAAGCAUUGGGAAUGUCAAAAAUAAGUAUCCACCUGACUUCUAAAAUGUAUGCUAAGGAUCUGACUGAACUUGGAGUGUAUUGCUUCACCAAGCAUCUAUGCUUUGGUUGUUAAAAAGCAGUAACCAGCUACUUUGGCUAAAGACUGCUCCUUUUCAGCAGGUAACUGUGUAAAUCGGUAUAUUGAAUGUAUCAGAAUCUGCAGAGAUUUACUACUGAACAGGUUUCCCUUCAUUGCUUUCAACAAUAUUUAUUAUUUCUGUUAAUGUUACUGACAAGGGUAGGUAUUUCCAUGUGCCAUAUUUUGUACAUGCUCUUUCUUGAAUAAAGAUGAGGAUGUGAAAAACCUA
Molecule: long non-coding RNA, 1754 nt
Organism: Grus americana (Whooping crane)
Lineage: Eukaryota; Metazoa; Chordata; Aves; Gruiformes; Gruidae
Exons: 5
Source: RefSeq, a predicted model, not a curated record